Molecule: ribosomal RNA, 484 nt
Filed under: uncultured bacterium
Lineage: Bacteria
Description: partial 16S ribosomal RNA
Rfam family: Bacterial small subunit ribosomal RNA
Source: RNAcentral
AUUGAACGCUGGCGGCAGGCCUAACACAUGCAAGUCGAGCGGAUGAAGGGAGCUUGCUCCUGGAUUCAGCGGCGGACGGGUGAGUAAUGCCUAGGAAUCUGCCUGGUAGUGGGGGAUAACGUCCGGAAACGGGCGCUAAUACCGCAUACGUCCUGAGGGAGAAAGUGGGGGAUCUUCGGACCUCACGCUAUCAGAUGAGCCUAGGUCGGAUUAGCUAGUUGGUGGGGUAAAGGCCUACCAAGGCGACGAUCCGUAACUGGUCUGAGAGGAUGAUCAGUCACACUGGAACUGAGACACGGUCCAGACUCCUACGGGAGGCAGCAGUGGGGAAUAUUGGAGAAUGGGCGAAAGCCUGAUCCAGCCAUGCCGCGUGGGGGAAGAAGGUCUUCGGAUUGUAAAGCACUUUAAGUUGGGAGGAAGGGCAGUAAGUUAAUACCUUGCUGUUUUGACGUUACCAACAGAAUAAGCACCGGCUAACUUCGUG